CCUACGGGUGGCAGCAGUGGGGAAUUUUGCGCAAUGGGGGGAACCCUGACGCAGCAACGCCGCGUGCGUGACGAAGGCCCUCGGGUUGUAAACCGCUUUCAGCAGGGAAGAUCCAAGACGGUACCUGCAGAAGAAGCUUCGGCAAACUACGUGCCCGCAGCCGCGGUAUUACUUAGGGGGCGAGCGUUAUCCGGUUUCAUUGGGCGUAAGGCGCGCGUAGGCGGCCGCCUAAGCUGGACCUCUAACCCCGGGGCUCAACCCCGGGCCGGGGCCGGGACUGGGCGGCUCGAGUGCGGUAGAGGAGAGCGGAAUUCCCGGGGUAGCGGUGGAAUGCGCAGAGAGCGGGAAGAACACCGAUGGCGAAGGCAGCUCUCUGGGCCGUCACUGACGCUGAGUCGCGAAAGCUGGGGGAGCGAACAGGAUUAGAUACCCGAGUAGUC
This 440-nucleotide ribosomal RNA is filed under the name uncultured bacterium. Its description in RNAcentral is "partial 16S ribosomal RNA". It matches the Rfam family "Bacterial small subunit ribosomal RNA", at positions 338 to 795 of the family's 1533-position model. The record is from RNAcentral.